This is a long non-coding RNA of Oncorhynchus tshawytscha (Chinook salmon), 1115 nucleotides long. The record is from Ensembl. NCBI's taxonomy places the organism in Eukaryota, Metazoa, Chordata, Actinopteri, Salmoniformes, Salmonidae.
CACAAGAGAACCGUUACAAUAAGAGAACAUAAGAUAACACCACCAUGUUUUCCAUCUGCAGUCUUCUUGGUGAUGGCUGCCCAAGUCAGAUCACACUCCUUUUAUAAUACCUUUAUUUAACUAGGCAAAUCAGUUAAGAACAAAUUCUUAUUUUCAAUGACGGCCUAGGAACAGUGGGUUAACUGCCUGUUCAGGGGCAGAACGACAGAUGUGUACCUUGUCAGCUCGGGGAUUUGAACUUGCAACCUUCCGGUUACUAGUUCAACGCUCUAACCACUAGGCUACCCUGCCGCCCCUCCAUUCUAACCACUAGACUACCCUUUCGCCCCUCCACUCUAACCACUAGGCUACCCUGCCACCCCUCCACUCUAACCACUAGGCUACCUGCCGCCCCUCCACUCUAACCACUAGGCCACCCUGCCGCCCCUCCACUCUAACCACUAGUCUACCCUGCCACCCCUCCACUCUAACCAUUAGUCUACCCUGCCGCCCCUCCAAUCUAACCACUAGUCUACCCUGCCGUCCCUCCACUCCAACCACUAGGCUACCCUGCCGCCCCUCCACUCUAACCACUAGUCUACCCUGCCGCCACUCCACUCUAACCACUAGUCUACCCUGCCGCCCCUCCACUCCAACCACUAGGCUACCCUGCCGCCCCUCCACUCUAACCACUAGUCUACCCUGCCGCCACUCCACUCUAACCACUAGUCUACCCUGCCGCCACUCCACUCUAACCACUAGUCUACCCUGCCGCCACUCCACUCUAACCACUAGUCUACCCUGCCGCCACUCCACUCUAACCACUAGUCUACCCUGCCGCCGAUCCACUCUAACCACUAGUCUACCCUGCCGCCCCUCCACUCUAACCACUAGUCUACCCUGCCGCCGAUCCACUCAAACCACUAGUCUACCCUGCCGCCGAUCCACUCUAACCACUAGUCUACCUGCCUCCCCUCCACUCUAACCACCAGUCUACCCUGCCGCCCCUCCACUCUAACCACUAGGCUACCCUGCCGUCCCUCCACUCUAACCACUAGGCUACCCUGCCGUCCCUCCACUCUAACCACUAGUCUACCCUGCCGCCGAUCCACUCUAACCACUAGUCUACCCUGCCG